CCCACCUGAGGAUCUGUCUUUUUCAGCCAUCUAUUUCCUGUGUUUGAGGGGUGGAAAAUACACUUGUCACUUAAAUCUCACUGGAUUGACUGCUUCAAUUUGACUCUUUUAUACUCUUGCUUUUGCCUGUCGUUUUUUCCUGUUAACGUUACCACCACGGAAAUGUUUGCAAUGAACUGUCAUGAACCCGGUAAUUGCUGAAAUGGGCUCAAUGGAAUACAUCAUCUUUCCUGUUGCAUUUCUAAGAACGGUAAAGCUUCAUAAGGGAUUUAACACACUCUUGACACUUAUAUCACAACAAAGAAGAAAUAUAACUUUAUUUUGAUGUACAAGCAUGUUGAUUUUUAAUCAAGGGUAUCUGCUAUUGACAGACUUGUUGAAUUAUGCAAGAGAAACGUGACAACAGUAAAAAAUGAAGCAGUAUAGACAGUGCAGGUGAGUGCUGGUAGGGUAGACAGAGCAGGUGAGUGCUGGUAAGGUAGACAGAGCAGGUGAGUGCUGGUAAGGUAGACAGAGCAGGUGAGUGCUGGUAGGGUAGACAGAGCAGGUGAGUGCUGGUAGGGUAGACAGAGAAGGUGAGUGCUGGUAGGGUAGACAGAGAAGGUGAGUGCUGGUAGGGUAGACAGAGCAGGUGAGUGCUGGUAAGGUAGACAGAGCAGGUGAGUGCUGGUAGGGUAGACAGAGCAGGUGAGUGCUGGUAAGGUAGACAGAGCAGGUGAGUGCUGUUUGGGUAGACAGAGCAGGUGAGUGCUGGUAGGGUAGACAGAGCAGGUGAGUGCUGUUUGGGUAGACAGAGCAGGUGAGUGCUGUUUGGGUAGACAGAGCAGGUGAGUGCUGUUUGGGUAAACAGAGCAGGUGUUUGGUGGUUGCAGCCCUGUUCCACCCUUUUAUGUUAAUGUGUUAAUAUAUGCAAAUACACCCGGUGUUUUUAUGUGCAAUAGUUCAGUCAAUAUCUAAUGGAUUACAACAAUUCUAAAAGUUUGGAGUAGCUACGUCCAGUUUCCAACUGCUGCUUU
RNAcentral lists this long non-coding RNA (1016 nucleotides) under Salmo salar (Atlantic salmon). RNAcentral describes it as "lncRNA (ENSSSAG00000099481.1)". Lineage: Eukaryota; Metazoa; Chordata; Actinopteri; Salmoniformes; Salmonidae. The record is from RNAcentral.